CAUCGAGUGGAGAAGCUGCUUUCAAAGAGAUUAUCUAAGGUGAUUGUGUGUGUAAGUGGAGAUUGGAAAAGGAAAGAAAAUAUCGUGUUGAAGACAAAUGACGUUUUCCAUUAAGCAAAUAGGAUUUUCUUGGAGAAGAAAUGUUACUUGGAGAGGAAUAAGAAGUUUCCUUAUAUGGGAAUGAAAGUUCAUUAAGGUGCAUUUAAUGAACUUGGAGAGCAAGUCUACGGUUUAUAUAUAAGGAGGGAUGUGCCCUUAUGAGAAAGA
Molecule: long non-coding RNA, 267 nt
Filed under: Brassica napus (rape)
Lineage: Eukaryota; Viridiplantae; Streptophyta; Magnoliopsida; Brassicales; Brassicaceae
Description: long non-coding RNA (BNAP_LNC017342)
Source: RNAcentral